Long non-coding RNA from Alligator mississippiensis (American alligator), 4919 nucleotides. RefSeq lists it as uncharacterized. The transcript has 5 exons. NCBI's taxonomy places the organism in Eukaryota, Metazoa, Chordata, Crocodylia, Alligatoridae. The record is from RefSeq and is a predicted model, not a curated record.
UUUACAGCUAGAACAGAGAAAAAGAAAUGACUAUGGUACUGGCCUUCAAAAGAUCAAAUGAACAGAUAAAUCUCCUCUCCUACCUUUAAAUAAAAAGGCAUGAGGAUGUAUUUUCAAAUACUACUACUAAACCCAGAUUUGAAGCAGGAUCCACAAAUCAUUUACUAAGCACUAAUUUAGUUAUUUCAGAUAACAAGAUUAGGAAAAACGCACUUUUGCCACAUUAAGAAAAUGAUGACAUAUUUCAUUGAGAAAUGUUGGCACCUUCAUGCUUUAGAGCAGGAAUCUGUUUUGAGAAUGGAUCCCUCAUGCAUCAGGAAUAAUUUCUUUCAACUAUCUGAGAACAUGGUGGCUAUGUUUGCCAGAGAUUCUUUCUGCAACGACCCAUCUAUCUAUGCAGCUCCUAUGUGCUGACCAGAUUACAUGCUUGCCAUCCCCAGUCAAUCCAACCUAAAGCUCCAAGGCUAGACAAGACUCUCUCCCUAUCAACUGUUCUUCUCCACUUACGAGACACUGGUUUGCCAGAAACAAGAAAUCCUCCAGUGCUGGUGCAGCAAAAACAAGGAACUACUAACCCUACUUGAAAUGAGCUACCAGAAGGUAAAAAGAAUAGAACAGAAAGAAAGGGGCACCUGGAAGCAGGAAGAGGAAGUGAUGAGCAACUCCUCAGAGUCUUGCUGCUGUAGUUCUGGACUGCAAAUGCCCAAGACCUUGGGGGCAGCAGGAAGAGGAAGUGAACACAAGACAGCCAUGCUUGCCCCACCUAGCUCUAGAGCUAGCAUGCUCUAGCACUCGCCAGCUUCUGGCCUGAGCCACUGCAGGCAUGUGGCUGCAUUUCCUGAAUCAAAGGUUCUGCACCUCCUGUUCUGAAAUAUCUAUGGUGGCUAUAAAGAAACUCAGGUAUGAACUGAGGCUGAGCUAAUAUGAACAUGAUACAACUUCAUGAUGUAUAGCAUAGUUUGUGCAGCUAGUGCAGAGCUAUUACAACUUAAUUAUCAUAUAAGUUAUGAUAAAAUGUGGGAGAAUAAAACAUGGCAGAGUCAGCUGGAGAUAGCAUUAGAACAGGGUGACCAUUUAGGGUCUCUAUGUUCACUGCACAUGUAGGGGCAGAAUGUAAGAGGUCUUAUCUGUGAAGGCCUCCACACACUUCAGGCCCUCCACUGACUCUGACAACCCCUUUCUUUUAGUACAAUAAAUUGUUUCUUGCAAGAGUGCAGCUCAUUUGUGCAGAAGACAAGGGCUUCCUCAUGUACUAAUCCAAGAACAUACAACUUCAUCUAGUAAGAAGUACUUCAAACCUUACCACCUUCUGAUCCAAAUGGAAAACUCGUUUCUUUAAUCCAGUUUUCAAUUUACUUAAAAUAACCCCCCAAACCCACUGUAGGCAAUUUCUCCUUGAAAGUAGGGCAAUGCACAUGACAAAUUCUUGUCAAUAUUUAUUAUUUACUUUCUCUGUUUAUUUAUGGAAGAUGCUCAGAUACCACACUAACGAUAACAGGAAGGAGAAUCUGAACAGAAUAGAAAACAACAACAGCACAGAUGUAAAAUAUAGGUGCAGCUAGAAAAUAAGAACCUAUUUUCAGAAAAUGAAAGAGAGAUUUUGACAUUUGUUUUCAUUCCACAAGGGAAAGAGUCAACUUUUUUAACUUUUCCAGAUACAGAGAGACACUAAAUAGCCUGCAUCCCUGUAGUUGGAGCAUGCACUUGAGAUGUUGUAGAAUUAGGCUCAAAUGUCUGAUUAAAUCUGGGUUUCCCAAAUAGGUGAGUGUUGUAACCACCGAGUUGUAGAGCCAGUGUCUCUGGUCCAAUAAAUAGUUAAUUAUCUACAGAAAGUCACACAAUUCCAGUGAGAAAUUUAAAGAGAGACUGAGGCAGCAGUGCCAAGGCAGCCAUGUUCCCCCUGUGUAGACAAAGAUCUGUGUGCCUGCAGAGAUCUGUUUGGUCUCUGAAGCUACAGAGCACUGAAUGAGAUGCAGUCGAAGAACAAGAUACAUGGCCAUGACAGAUCUUAAACAGGGAGUCACUGGCAUUUUAAUGGAUGAGGAUGUUGGUGAGACAUCUAAUUUCAACCCCUGAUGUUUGAAAAUGCUGGCUCCAACCAGUGGAGGGGGAUGGUUUAUUAUCUAUCUUGAAUCAAAUGAGAGCAUUUCCAAAUUUCAUACUUACUGCUAACUGGUCUCUUUUUUAUAUUCAACUAUAUUAUUAUUAACAAUGUACAAAGGAAAGAAAGAAAAGCUCCAGGUAAAAUUGCACAGUAAAGAAAACUGGAUGGAAUUCAACAUGUGAAGCACAUUUUAAGUGCUAAUUAAUAGAUAAGCUCUACUGAAGAUGCAAUAGCUUAAAAUAGCAAGGCAAGUACUCAAACAUAAGAGGCUGUUUGGAAUUAUCCCUACGGAAGAACUAAGAAGCAACCAAAUGAAUAAAAUAAACAAAUCUUUGAGUUAAAAAGCCUGCAGGGACCAUUUAAAUUCAAGUCAGCACAGAUGCCUAUUCUGGUUUUAAAGACCAGGACAGAUGCGAAGAAACAUAAACCUCUUUUUAAAAAAGUUUAUUUAAAUUAGUUCAUUUUCAGAGUCCUUUUCCCUUGAAGACUCCUGAUUUCCUAGCUCCGGUUCUCAAGUAAGUGAAUCUAUUUAAGAGUAAAAGACAGGGAAGCCCAUAACAAAUUAGUUUCAGUGGAAGUGAUCUUUAGAAAGCAGAAAAAUCCUGCCGAGAAGCAGGACUACUUCCCAUUCUCUUCUUGUAGACCACAACAAAGCAAUGGUCUGAAAUGUGACCGGGACUCAAAUUUUGGCAACUUAUGCCUUUCCAAGCAAAGAAAAUAUAUGCCUGCCUGCCUGCCCCUUUAUGAUUAAGGUGGCCUGGAAAGCUCUUAAUAUAUAUAACUUCCUUUUAUGUUACAGAUUCAGGUGCCUCUCUGAGGACUGGAGAACAAGUGAAAUGUCAAUAUCCUAUUAGGGAAUGAAAGACUUCACAAAAAAAAAUAAGCUGCCAGACACCUAGUAGGGAUUAUCUGGAUAAGGAAAGGGGCAAGCUGAGGGAGGAGAUAACGAAAGAGGUGGUCAGAGAGUAUUUGCCGUGUCUGAAUGAAUUCAAGUCAGCAGGGCUGGAUGAGCUUUAUUCCAGGGUCCUGAAAGAACUGGUAGAGGAGAUCUCAGAGCCCUUGGCAAUAAACUUCGUGAAGUUGUGGGAGAUGGGCCAGGUACUAGAGGACUGGAAAAAGGCCAAUAUUAGUGCCCCUCUCUAAGGAAAAGGGUAAGGAGGAGAAACCAGGGAACCAGUUAGUCUCAUCUUAACACCUGGGAGGUUACUGGAGCAUAUCCGAAGGACGGCCAUUUGCAAGCAUCUGGAGGAAGAAAAGCUGAUAACAAGCAGCCACCACAGACUUAGGAAAAACAAAUUGUGUCAAACCUGAUCUUCUUUGGCAAAGUAAUUACUUGGGUGGAUGAAGGAAAUGCUGUGCAUAUAAUGUAUCUGGGCUUUAGAGCAAGGCUUUUUACAAGGUCCCCUGUGACCUUCUAAUAAAUAAAUUGGAGAAAUGUAGGUUGGAUAAACCUACUACAAGGUGGAUAGAUACCCGGCUCAACAGCCAUAAGCAAAGGGUAAUUAUUAACAGGUCCCAGUCACAAUAAGUGGUUUUGAGUGGAUCUUACAGGGUCUGUCUUGGGCCUGCUGCUGUUCAACAUGUUUAUGAAGGAUUUGGAUGCUGGCAUAGACCUUUUUCAUGAACAAGUUUCCAGACAACAUGAAACUGAGAAGGACUGUCAAUACUUUGGAGGAUGCAAGCUCAAUUCAGAAGAAAAGUUUGGCUAGAGCUAACAGGAUGAAUUUUGUAGAAAACCCCCCAGCUUUUCUUUUUUUUUUAAAUGCAUUCCCUCCCCUUCCCCAACCAUUCUGACUCUUUCUCUACCUCUCUACUCCCUAUAGAUAAGUAUGAGUGAGCUAAGACAUAGGAUAAGCUUCAGCAUUUUAUUUUGGUAGCAAGUUAUAGUUGUUUUGUUUUUCUCUUUCUUUAUAUUGUAUAAUUAUUGUUUAUAUUGAUUUUUACUGUUCUAUAUUACUGUUUUACUGGUACUAUAUGAUUUAGGCCUAGAUAUGUAAGUUAGCAUAAGUCAUGUCAAGUUUCCAUUUUGUUUGUCAAGUCUCCAUCUUUUUCCCAUGCCCUGUUGUGUAACCCAUGACUCAUACGUACCCCUCCUAUGUAACUUGGUUCCUGGAUGAAUGGGAAUGAAUGAGAGUGCUUGAGAGACAAUGGCAGUAGGUCUAAAAAUAGCUCCCUCUGAAUGAAUGAACCAUCAACACCAAAAUCUGGACCAACGACCCAGCCAUUGGUACCACCCUCAGCAUUCAAGAAACAAAAGAUGAGGCAAACCCACCAUUGUGUCAAGGCUGCACAUGCUCAAUAAGAAUACUUGGAGCCCUUUGGAAGAGGACUGACAUUGCCUGGACAGGCCCUUCCCACAGGAAAUCAGAGAUAGUCUGCCCCACAAAAAGGGGUAGUGAAGACUGACUCCUUGGGAUGCCCUCUCCAUCUGGACCAGCACCAUGCCAUACUACCUAUCCAUCCAGAUGUCCUGCCGGCAACCCCCCUCUGGACAACACCUAUUUGACAAGGACCCCUUUCCAGCCUGGAUAGGUAGCUAUCACCCCCACCCCCUAAUCAACCAAGGACUUGGACUCUGCUUCUCUUCCCUACCUGGACUCCAGCCCUUCCACCAAGUCUCUUUCUCCUGCUGCCAUUGUGUGUGUGUGUGUGUGUGUGUGUGUGUGUGUGUGUGUGUGUGUGUGUGUGUGUGUGUGUGUGUGUCCCCAGCCCAGCCCAGCCCAGCCCAGCCCAGCCCAGCCCAGCCCCUGGCUUGUUUACUUUUCAUUCCAUCCAGGAAGAGCACACACCAACUGCUGAAGCUUCCUUAGCCUGA